This 110-nucleotide non-coding RNA is filed under the name Guillardia theta. Lineage: Eukaryota; Cryptophyceae; Pyrenomonadales; Geminigeraceae. The record is from RNAcentral.
AACGACAUAAAACAGGCAUGUAGCUGAUGACUGUGUGAACUCACUUGUGUGUUGCUACUGCGAUCUUUUUCUUGCUUUUUUUUCUUGCUUUUUUUUCUUCUUCUUUCCUC